This is a long non-coding RNA of Gadus macrocephalus (Pacific cod), 5054 nucleotides long. RefSeq lists it as uncharacterized. The record is from RefSeq and is a predicted model, not a curated record. NCBI's taxonomy places the organism in Eukaryota, Metazoa, Chordata, Actinopteri, Gadiformes, Gadidae. The transcript has 8 exons.
ACACCUGCUGCCACUGAUUGGCCCAAUUUGGGCCAAACCAUUUUUCCUUGUGUCAAAGGGGGACACUGAACAUUGACAUUGGACAUUAAUGAGCGACAAGCCUAAAUGCACGAGUGAAAAUCACUGAUCUAAAAGUUGAAAUGAACUUUAACAUGCAUGCUGUAUAUUUGAUGAGUUUAUUCAUGGUUGACCUGCAAUAUGCCACAGUAUUAUAAUCCCCCUGUUGAUUGAGCCUGUCUAGUGGGAGGGGCCAUGGGGUAUAAAAGGGCUGAGCUGCUGUCCUUCUGACAGUCUGCUGGAUGCUGUUGCCAGAAGAGGUUGUCUGUGUUGAGCAGGGUGCUCAGCUCUCCACGAGAUGCUAAAUAUCUACUGAGGUCUAUCAUGGAUACUUAACUGCAGUUCUGUGAGUAUCCCAACUUAACCAUGAAGAUGAACUGCAAACUGUGAGUCAUUAAUUUCUCAUUACUCUUGGGCAUAUUGAUGUAUUUUGGCUUCCUGGUGAGUUAACCUGUUACCUGAAGGUUGAUCUGAGUAGCAAGGAUGUUUUAUUGGUUCAUGGGUUACUUAGGGAUUUGGUUUAUGUUGGUUUUAAUGAUUUGUUAAAAUGGUUACAGGCUCCAAGUUAUUGUUGUAAGCCUGGGCAAUGGGUUGGUUUCUGAUAUCUGCAGUCUUCUUUCAUUCUACUCUCCUGAGCUCUGCAUCUUCAUCACAUGAGUGUUGCUUUACUGAUGAGGGUGUGGUCUGAGUGAGCAGAUGUGCAUACUGGGAUACAGAGCUGUCUGAAGUCUACAGGUCUGUAGACGCGCCCCCUCAGGGGAAACCGAGUGUUUGAGAAACUGUCGUGACGUCAGUUACAUGGACUGGAAUGUUCUUAAAGAUGGAGACAGGGAUUCAGAAGGAGAAACACCAGGGGGAGAUGAGGGGGCUCCUCAUCUCAACGGCCAAAACACAACUUCAGUCUGACAGAGAACCAUGGAACACAUUCAACAGUCCCCUCCAGGCAUCGUGACUCCUCAGGAAGGUUUAAUUUCCAAGGUCUUAUUUGGGGCCAUCCCCAUAUGGAUCCUGCUCCUCAAGAGCCACCCCCCUCCACUGGGUGGUCUUCUGAACAGAUGACCUCCUUCCUGUCCUCAGGCUGACUAAAGCUGCACCGUUUGCAUCUGUGAAGGCCCCUCAUUCAGGAAACCACUUGACUACAAAGACAUGACUUCAGAGACGUUGAAUCAACCUGGGACAUUUUGGAGACGCAAAGCAUAAUCCAUCACCAAUGUGGGACGCCACUGAAGAAUGUUGUGCAUAAUUUACAUCUCUGGAGAAAUUGGUUGUUCUGGUAUGGGUGCCCUGGCAGGAGGGGUGGGGAAUGAUGGAAUGUUAUUUGGCAUGAGGUUUUUACCCUGCAUGAUUGUUUGGCCCUUUAUGGCUCAGUGGUGUGUGUGUGUUUGACAUGAGAUGGAAGAUUUUUGAGGGUUCUACUGUGUGUGUCUCCCACUCACACCUGGCAUAGGGUUCUACGUGCCUGGCCUGGGUUCUAUGUGUGUGUCCGGCUUGCUUUGACAGUGAUAAUGUUCAUACGGGGGUCUGUGUGAUUGGCUUGGGAUAUUGGAAGGGUCAACUAAAUCAUACCUGAUGGAUGACCACACGUUUACUCAAGGGCCUCCAGUAGACAUGAAGAGCCCUGAGCGACGCUCCAGAGCGAUAUCCAACACACUGGGCAGGAAGGAGAGUAUCCAACUCAAGUGUAAAAGGAUGCAAGCGGUGUGUUCAGAUCAGUGUCUUCAAAUUAGGACUACACCAAUCAGGAUAAAUGGAGGAUUGACACCAAAAGGAAUUCCACACGGAGUCUGACGUUGGAAAGGGACCUAAAUGGAUUUUCAAGAUGACCUUCAGACCUGUAAUGAGACGGCUCUUCCUACCUGGCCGGAUUGAUGAAGAGCCCUGUGGAAACCUUCACUGGGCUUCAAGGUAUAAAGAGGAGAAUGUUUCCAUGGUACUCUGAUGAAGACCGUUGUUGUGUUCCACUGGCAGAGGGGAAGAACCCACACAUCUUUCUCUUGACCGUUCUCCUCUGAGAAUCCUGGUGCCAUCUUGAAGGAUAUUCCAGCUCAUGUAACUGAUGUCACGACAGUUUCUUAAACACUUGGUUUCUCCUGAGGGGCGUGUCUAUAGAACUGAAGACUUCAGACGGCACUGUAUCCCAGCAUGCAUCUCUGCUCACUCGGACCACACCCCCAUGAGUAGGAUGCAACACUCUAGUGAUGGAGAUGUAGAGUUUUAUAAGUAACGAGGGAGCAGACUAAGGUGAUUAGAACACAAUGGAAUGUCCAGUCUGUAAAUCUUUAAUCCAUGAAGAUGGUUGGAUAGUUCAGGAAUUGGGCUUCUUUUUAUUAUGGGCAGUCCUUUCACUCGGAUGCCCACGAUGAUGCCCAUGAUUUGCUGUUGGUGAUGAGGUGGUCAGGGUGACGUUGCAGGGCUAUGGUCGGCUCUCUGCUCAACGUUUAGAUUUGCUCUGUAUGGUUUAUACCCGGAAUAAUCUAGAUAAUUGUAAAAUGUAUACACGGUUUUGUAUUGAAUGAUUUUAGUUUUAAAGUUGUUGUGGGACGUACAUGGUAGUUUGGUUCUUCGUAUGGUUUUGAGUGAUAUAACUUGUACACACUGGGUGCAUAAUAAUGUAAAGGUACACUGAAUAGGAAUGACCAACGGCAACAAACGGAUCUCCUCAAGGUAAGUCUGUUGGCUGUGUUUUAAUGAAGACCAUCGCUGGACUUCAGGAUCUUCCUCCGUUCAGCUCAAGGUGAGGCGCUGGUUCUGUUUUUUCUUUGGUUGGUUCCGGCCGGAAUGUUCGGAUUCCAGUCGGACGGUUUGUGCUUCCCGCCGUGGAAGGUUCUGAGUGUGGUCACUUGAUUUAGUCCCAAUGGUUAGCAUAGAACGUUGUAGUCUUGACAACCAUAAGAAACCACCUGGCAGUUAGUUGGACUGGAGUCCCCUGAGGGAAUCUGGCGGAACGUUCUGGAUUGUAUUUGCGUAACCUCGAGCCGUUUCCUAUUCUAUUUCAGUCGGUUUCGAUUGGGAAUUGUUGCCCCUAUCUUAAACAACUUAAGUCUGAUAUUAAAUACAUACUCAUGCGUACGUCGUACAAUAUGUUGAUAAAUUCCGAUGGUUGCGCCGUACUUUUAACCACGAUGACGUGACGGGACUCUCACUGCGUACAAAACGGCGUUCUACUUGCGGGCCCACUUUUGACAUCAGGGGAGGCUGAAAAUCAUUUCAAGGUGGAAGCUAAUUUGACAUUUCUUCAACGGAACCCAGCACCUGAAUAUGGCUGAGUAUAUUUGAUUUAAUAUCGAUACUGCUUAGAGUUCUUUGUUACUUCAACUUUUGUACGUUCUAAAUAUCUGCUGUCAUUAAUUGCCACAGAAGUUAAACCCUACCCAAUGGAAUGAUGUUAAACAACGACUUUGGUUCAGUUACCAACUUCAUAAUAUCAAAGCUAAAAUAAUGGCAGUCAUUCCCACAUGUUACAAUACUCUAGUCUAGAACUGUACAAGGUUCAAAAGGUAACAUGUAGUUUGUCCCAAGGUGUCUGCCUCCUCACCCAGAGCAAGACCUCCACCUCCUCACCCAGAGCCAGACCUCCACCUCCUCACCAAGAGACAGACCUCCACCUCCAGUCAGAAGUCCUCCAGAACAGCUGAACGGCGAGGCUGAGAGGCUGGGGACCAGAGGCUUGUGGUGCCAGGGUGGACCGGAGACUGAGGCUGGAGACCAGGGGCCCACAGCACCGGACCAGAGGAAGGUGGGGUGUGUUUCGUCCCCAGGUGAUUUACUGCUGAGAUGGACUGGGUUUGUAACCAGACCAGGAAUCCAUGUCUGGAGGAGCCGUGCUGAAGGAGCUGAUGGAGGAGCCAAGCUGAUGGAGGACCCGUGCUGAAGGAGCUGUUGGAGGAGUCGUGCUGAAGGCCCUGCCUUGUGGAGGCCCUGCCUGGUGAAGGACGUCUGUCAUGGGACCAGGACUCUUUCAGAGGAGAGCUGCUGGAGGAGCUGAGACGCUGGAGGACGACUAGGAAUCGACCAACAAGGAUUCCUCAACGUGUUCCUGGAGAGGAGGCGAGCUGGUAGGGGAGCCGUGAAUCUGGAGGAUGAACAUCACUCUACAAACAAGGAUUACCAGAACUCUGGCUGAGGAGAGCUGAUGGAGGAGCCAUGACUCUGGAGGACGACAUCGCUCCACCAACCAGGAUCCUCACCAGGAAUCUGGAGGACUGAUGGAGAAGCCGUACAUCUGGAAGGCAAAUCCUGAGGAUCACCAGGACUCUACCACCAAGGAUUCCUCAUAAGUUUGCAUUAUCUGGACAUAGUGGACUAGGUAGGGGGUUGGGGGUUCAACUCUCAAACCAAUGGUGCCGGGUUCAAGUCCUCAGAAUACAGUGAUGCGUCCUUGAGCAAGGCGCCCUAAAGCCUGCCUGCUCCUUAAUGACUUAUCUUUGGUUCAGAUAAUGUUGCAUCUUUUGAAUAUUGAACCUAAUCAAUGUCCUUGUUUGGUCCAGGCAGACACACCUGAGCUAAACCCGCCCUGAUCCUGACAUCGUGCUGGUCCCGUCUCCUCAGUUCAUCAGAGCCUUGUCCUCCAGAAGACCUGCUGAGCUCAGCAGUCUGAGGCUGAUGGAUCAAUGACCUCCAGUGGGAGUGAUCUUCUUGACCCCACAUGUAACCGUGUGCUUCCACACGCCUUUCCCUCACGUCUGUCACUAACUUCACUACGCUCUACUGCUUCCUCUUUUCUUCCUUCUCUCUGGUUCAAAUCUUUACACUGAAGGCGCGUCUUCCUGCCCUCAGAGGGUUUAGCGUUAGGGUUGAGAGUCAGGGUUUAGAGUCAGGGACAGAGCUGGUCAGGGAGGACUGCUUUUACACAAACCUCUUCACUUGCUUUCGGAAUGGUGGUGACAUUUCGAAAAGAUGAAUUUGGAAAAUGUUUUCCUCUGCUUUCCUUUAUAAAAUUGUAUUACAUUUCUGUCAAGUGUUUUUGUUUAUAUAUUAAAAUCCCACAUUGACUUCUA